CCUACGGGAGGCAGCAGUGGGGAAUAUUGGGCAAUGGGCGCAAGCCUGACCCAGCAACGCCGCGUGAAGGAAGAAGGCUUUCGGGUUGUAAACUUCUUUUAAGAGGGAAGAGCAGAAGACGGUACCUCUUGAAUAAGCCACGGCUAACUACGUGCCAGCAGCCGCGGUAAUACGUAGGUGGCAAGCGUUGUCCGGAUUUACUGGGUGUAAAGGGCGUGCAGCCGGGAAGACAAGUCAGUCGUGAAAUCCCGGGGCUCAACCGCGGAACUGCAUUUGAAACUGUUUUUCUUGAGUACCGGAGAGGUCAUCGGAAUUCCUUGUGUAGCGGUGAAAUGCGUAGAUAUAAGGAAGAACACCAGUGGCGAAGGCGGAUGACUGGACGGCAACUGACGGUGAGGCGCGAAAGCGUGGGGAGCAAACAGGAUUAGAUACCCUAGUAGUC
Molecule: ribosomal RNA, 442 nt
Filed under: uncultured bacterium
Lineage: Bacteria
Description: partial 16S ribosomal RNA
Rfam family: Bacterial small subunit ribosomal RNA
Source: RNAcentral